CCUACGGGAGGCAGCAGUGAGGAAUAUUGGUCAAUGGCCGCAAGCCUGAACCAGCCAAGUCGCGUGAGGGAUGACGGCCCUAUGGAUUGUAAACCUCUUUUGUCAGGGAGUAAAGUGCGCUAUGUAUAGUGCUUUGCGAGUACCUUAUGAAAAAGCAUCGGCUAACUCCGUGCCAGCAGCCGCGGUAAUACGGAGGAUGCGAGCGUUAUCCGGAUUUAUUGGGUUAAAGGGGAGCGCGGGCGGAAUGUCAAGUCAGCGGGAAAAUUUCGGGGCCAAACCCAGCCGUGCAGUUGAAACUGGCGUUCUUGAGUGCGCGAGAGGUAUGCGGAAUGCGUGGUGUAGCGGUGAAAUGCAUAGAUAUCACGAAGAACUCCGAUUGCGAAGGCAGCAUGCCGGCGCUCAACUGACGCUCAUGCACGAAAGCGUGGGUAUCGAACAGGAUUAGAUACCCGAGUAGUC
This 459-nucleotide ribosomal RNA is filed under the name uncultured bacterium. RNAcentral's name for it is "partial 16S ribosomal RNA". It matches the Rfam family "Bacterial small subunit ribosomal RNA", at positions 338 to 795 of the family's 1533-position model. The record is from RNAcentral.